Molecule: ribosomal RNA, 279 nt
Filed under: uncultured bacterium
Lineage: Bacteria
Description: partial 16S ribosomal RNA
Rfam family: Bacterial small subunit ribosomal RNA
Source: RNAcentral
UGCCAGCAGCCGCGGUAACACGGGGGGCGCAAGCGUUAUUCGGAAUUAUUGGGCGUAAAGGGUGCGUAGGCGGCCUUAUAAGUCAGUGGUGAAAGUCUUCGGCUCAACCGGAGGACUGCCAUUGAAACUGUAGGGCUUGAGUACAGUAGAGGUAGGCGGAAUUUAUGAUGUAGCGGUGAAAUGCAUAGAUAUCAUAAAGAACACCGAUAGCGAAGGCAGCUUACUAUGCUGUUACAGACGCUGAGGCACGAAAGCGUGGGGAGCGAACAGGAUUAGAUA